Molecule: unclassified non-coding RNA, 305 nt
Organism: Fukomys damarensis (Damara mole-rat)
Lineage: Eukaryota; Metazoa; Chordata; Mammalia; Rodentia; Bathyergidae
Gene: 7SK
Rfam family: 7SK RNA
About the family: 7SK was discovered as an abundant small nuclear RNA in the mid-70s but a possible function has only recently been suggested. Two independent studies have found that 7SK RNA binds the CDK9/cyclin T complex (known as elongation factor P-TEFb). P-TEFb activates transcription by phosphorylating the C-terminal domain of RNA polymerase II.
Source: Ensembl
AGAUGUGAGGGCGAUCUGGCUGUGACAUCUGCCACCCCAUUGACCACCAGGGUUGAUUUGGCUGAUCUGGCUGGCCAAAUCAGAGUGUUCCUUUCCUCCCUCACUGCUCCAUAAGUGUCCCUCCUGAAUCUGCACACUCAGUUGGAGAGGACGACCACUCCCAGUAGAGGAGGACUAUUACCUCAAUCAAAGGUGUAUGAGUAGCUGCAUUCCCCUGCUAGAACAAGCUCUCAAGAAGGUGUAGCAGUCUGUCAACCCUCAGCUGGUUCUCUGAAUUCUGCCCAAGAGGGCAGAGGGUUAUUGAG